GGUUAAGCGACUAAGCGUACACGGUGGAUGCCCUGGCAGUCAGAGGCGAUGAAGGACGUGCUAAUCUGCGAUAAGCGUCGGUAAGGUGAUAUGAACCGUUAUAACCGGCGAUUUCCGAAUGGGGAAACCCAGUGUGAUUCGUCACACUAUCAUUAACUGAAUCCAUAGGUUAAUGAGGCGAACCGGGGGAACUGAAACAUCUAAGUACCCCGAGGAAAAGAAAUCAACCGAGAUUCCCCCAGUAGCGGCGAGCGAACGGGGAGCAGCCCAGAGCCUGAAUCAGUGUGUGUGUUAGUGGAAGCGUCUGGAAAGGCGUGCGAUACAGGGUGACAGCCCCGUACACAAAAAUGCACAUACUGUGAGCUCGAUGAGUAGGGCGGGACACGUGGUAUCCUGUCUGAAUAUGGGGGGACCAUCCUCCAAGGCUAAAUACUCCUGACUGACCGAUAGUGAACCAGUACCGUGAGGGAAAGGCGAAAAGAACCCCGGCGAGGGGAGUGAAAAAGAACCUGAAACCGUGUACGUACAAGCAGUGGGAGCACGCUUAGGCGUGUGACUGCGUACCUUUUGUAUAAUGGGUCAGCGACUUAUAUUCUGUAGCAAGGUUAACCGA
RNAcentral lists this ribosomal RNA (613 nucleotides) under Shigella flexneri. RNAcentral's name for it is "partial 23S ribosomal RNA". It matches the Rfam family "Bacterial large subunit ribosomal RNA", at positions 1 to 653 of the family's 2925-position model. Lineage: Bacteria; Pseudomonadati; Pseudomonadota; Gammaproteobacteria; Enterobacterales; Enterobacteriaceae. The record is from RNAcentral.